GGGUUUUUUUUUGUUGCUUUUCUUUAUGUUGAGUUACUAUGCAAAUUAGAAUAAUUAAUAUUUCCUGAAGUAAUGGCAUCUCACAUGGUGUAUACAAAAAUAGGCGUUAAAAGAGAUGAAGAUUUCACUAAGGAAAAAUAUAACAGCUUUUGAGAAAAACAUUGUGUCUAAGUAAUUCCUUCUCCCCUUGUAGAAUGUUAAUACACCAAUAUUAUUUAACAACUGCUUAGUUUGUUUUAUAUAUUUCUGUACUGUCGGUUCUGGUGUAUGGGACCACAUCAGGCUCUGAUAGUUUAAAAAGUUAGCAUACGUGUCCUGUGUUACAAGAUGGGAUUGGUGCUUUGGGAUUUAGUCAGAAAAAGCGGCUAGUUCCAUUAACCAAAAGCAAAUAAAUAGUUGAGUAUAGUUAAUAUUCAUUGUUAACUAUAACCUGUUUUUUUGAAAUACUGGACAGCUGUUGUUGUUGUUUUAUCCCUUACAGUCUUCAAACGUAUACUUUACAAUUGUUUUUCUUUUCAUAUUUAAGUCAAUUGUUUUCUAGAUACUCAAGCUGUAUUAUUGACUUUAUAAAACUUAUCAUUGUAUAGACAUUUUUACAUUCAUUUCACAAAGAAUUAUAGAUUGUUUACUACUGUACAAUUUUUUUUCAAUGUGAAGGUUUUACUUGGCUUUGGAUCUGAAGAUUCUACUUAUAAAUCUUACUGGUAUUUUGUGCAAGCAGGGGUGUUUCCAUAGGCUUGAGAAAUAAUUCCCACAUGUUCAGGGUGUAUUUGAUUAUGACUGUUGUUCCCAAAUGCUUGAAGUCAUGACUGCUGUGAGGUGAGCAGGAUCCACAUUGGAAAAAUAAAAUGGCAUUGUAGAGGUCAGACAGAUUUAAGGAUUUGUAGAAGAGGUUAAUGGGGGUGGAGCAUUGCUCUUGUCACAUGACUUCCUUGUAAAACUGUAGGCCAGAUUCUAAAGAUCUCAUCACUUACCUGUCUUGACAGAAUGCUUUUCAUUUGGAAUGUACAUUGAAAAGUUGCUGUAAUGAUCACUUUUUAAAAUUGUUUUUUUUUUCUUUACAUUUAUUUUAUUAAUUGCUAUGUAAUGUUUACUGCUAAUUGUUAUUGUUUUAGGUGAUAGACUUUGUAAUAUUUACAUGUUUUUAUUUAAAAAGAUAAAAGGCUGUAAUCGGUUUUCUUCUGAGACAUAGACAAAGACAUACACCUAAUGUUUAAUAAAUCGGUUUGGGAGAGUUCGUAUAACUCAAGUUUUAAUUUUGUUCUCAACAGAAGUCAAUUUAUUCGACAUUCUGUUUAUCAUGAUAUGAGUGGUAGCCAUGGUGUGCACCAUCUUUUUUUUUGUUCUUCAGCUGAGUCCCAUACCUUGUUGUGGGCAUAAGGAAGACCAUUAACAGGGCAUUAUUGUAGAGUGUGUCUUAGCAGUAACAGAUUUAACCAAGUCUAUCAAAUGCAGACUCUUCAAUUUGUCUCUUAUAGGCCACAGUGGUGCUUCUUAGAUGAAAAAUGGCAAACUUUCUCUGGUGUCAUAUUGUAUGUCUUCAUUCUAAUGGUAUUGGCGUGCGUGCGUGCGUGUGUGUGUGUGCUAAAGCAACCUUUUUUCAUACACAAAGGAGAACUGCUAGUCUCUUCCUUUGCCAGUAUAUUAGCCACAUCUUUUCAUGGUAAUCACAACAAAUUUCUAAUUAAGGUUAACUCUUUCUCUCCGUCAUUAUUUUCCACGUUUCAACAGAAUUCUUCCUAUUGCUGAGCCAGUAUUUCACUACUCUUUUUCAAUUAAGCUCUAAAAACCUUUUCAUUUGUUAUCAGAAAAAUGUUUUAGUUGGGAUAGAGUUAAAGGGGACUGCAUGCACUUUUUAAAUAAGACUAAAGUAAAGAUUAUAAUUGCUGAGCAGUAUUUCACUACUCUUUUUUAAUUAAGCUCUAAAAACCUUUUUGUUUGUUAUCAGAAAAAUGUUUUAGUUGGUAUAGAGUUAAUGGGGACUGCAUGCACUUUUUAAAUAAGACUAAAGUAAAGUUUAUAAAAUCAAACAUUAAUUUAAUUUAAUGAGUUCAAAUCAACGAUGGUAUCGUCAGUUAGGAGAGAAAGAGUUAAUAAAGAAGUCUUAGUUUUUUACAUAGGCUAGCAUGUACUGAAGCAGUACCAGAUUGCUGGGACUGGGCUUGUCUUCCAGGUCACACUGUUAGCUGAGCGGUGUAUAAUAUUUAUUCCUGGAAGAAGUUGUUAUAAAUCUUGAGUCGAAAUUUUCAGUGAAUUGUUGAUGAUGAGUCGGGUGGUGAGCCCAAAGUGGGCCAAAGAGCUGAAGGAAGUUAAAGCAUUUCCAGAAAAAAAAAAUGUUUAUAUAAAAUCUGUGUUGAUUAAAAUUACUGGAGGAGAAAAAUCUUUUUGACUCGCACAAUAAACUUUCAGACAAUAAUUAUUUUUUACAUUUUUUUUUUGUCUGCAGAUGAAUCAGAUUAUCUCAUUAUUAUUGUCCAGUUCAGUGUUUCCCAAACUUUUUUCAUUAAUGGGACACUUAGUACAUUCUGAGUACAGGUAUGGAUGGCUGCCUGGUCGUGCGGUUUGCGCGCUGGACUGUCGUUCGAAUUUAUCGAUGGUCGAGGGUUCAGAUCCUGCCCGCUCCCAUCCCCCGUUGUCCUGCGGGAGGUUUGGACUAGGAAGUAAACUAUCUUCAACUCUGAAGGAACAUCCGAAACAUGUAAAACAAAUAAAACAGGUAUUGAGCGGAAAACUUUGCUUAUUUUUUUAAGAGAUAAAUUCCUGUGUAGGCCUACUAGUUGAUUAUUCCUGUAGUUCGUGGAACACCAACGCAGGCCUCAUGGAUCACUAAGUGUUCUGCAGAACACAGUUUGGGAAACACUGGUCUAAUUACAGAGUAAAUAAGGGCGGGCCUUUUUAAUCCUAUUCUAAAGUGGGCCUUUUAGUCCUAUUCUAAAGUGGGCCUUUUAGUCCUAUUCUAAAGUGGGCCUUUUUAAUCCAAUUCUAAAGUGGGCCUUUUAGUCCUAUUCUAAAGUGGGCCUUUUAGUCCUAUUCUAAAGUGGGCCUUGUAGUCUUAGUUCAGGUUAAAAAGAAAAUGUAAUAGUGAAUUUGGUCUGUAUUAAGGGCAAAAGGUCCACAUGGAGUAGCACAAUGUUGUUGUUUUGAUUAUUUUGUUAUUAUUUACUUAGAAAAUGAAUUCAUUGUUUGUUGUUUUUUUUUUGUUAUUCCCAUUGACACAUAGGCAAGCAGUGUUUUUUGUAGGCACACAUGUUGGCUUCAUUCUAUGUGCAGCAUUAUUCAAACAAAAUGGCUGUCUUUUAUGGACUUAAUUCUGCUAAAAAUAUUUUGUUUCUUGUUUUUGUAUGCCAGACAAGGUUUUCAAUUGGUUCUACUUUUUUUUUAUUUUUUAAAGGAUUUAGAUUUACAUAGUUUUGUUUGCCCUUACAGAUUAUGGGCCUUUGGUACAUAUCUUGGACCCUUAUAGUCUUUAGCCCUAGACUAGAAAUACUUUAUCUUUUUACACCGAAAUUUUCAAUCUACAAAUGUAAGAAUGUAUUUAUCGUGAUCGCACUUUCUUUUCUAUUUCUUUUGUGUGGUUUCACCAAAACUACAUAGUAUGUAUCUAAACCACAAGAGUCCAAAUUAACAAAACUUAGGGGGAAGUAAUUUACAAACAUUUAUUUUGCCUUUUUCUCGCUAUUGAUUAAAAGACAGAAAUGGGUAAAUUACCUCCCAUUACUUAAUACUUAGAUGAUGCAUUUGCUAACCUGUGUACUAAAUAUUUAGCAGUUUCAAUAUGUGACGUUUUAGUUAAUUGACAGUAUUGCAGUUGUCGUUUAUGUCUAUAUAUAUAUUUAUAUUUUUUUUCUUUAUUUAUUUGUACUUAUUUUGGUAAACAAAAUUUGACUAAAAUGGCAUUCUCUUUUCUUUUUUAACAUGUGACAAAGUCAGAGGGCUACCAGUUUUCUGAUGUGUGAUUUUAUUAUUAUACAAUUAUUAUUUUCCAAAGUACUAGGCCUGUACGCUACAAAUGAUAUUUUUUGUCAGAGCUAUUUCCCUUAUUUAUUGUACACUCACACAAUGAUAAAACAAAACUUUUCUCAAUACAACUAAUUUUAUAGAUCUAGAUCUACAUGAUAUAUAGGUCAGUGUAUUUGUUACAUGUGUUGAUCUUCCGGUCUGGAUAUUUUGUUCAUGUGUGUUCAGUUGAACAAAUGGUGUUAUGAUUUAAUAAACAAAUUGAAAACAUGUAA
Long non-coding RNA from Biomphalaria glabrata, 4232 nucleotides. RefSeq lists it as uncharacterized. The record is from RefSeq and is a predicted model, not a curated record. Lineage: Eukaryota; Metazoa; Mollusca; Gastropoda; Planorbidae. The transcript has 2 exons.